ACGAACGCUGGCGGCAUGCCUAACACAUGCAAGUCGAACGAGACCUUCGGGUCUAGUGGCGCACGGGUGCGUAACGCGUGGGAACCUGCCCUUAGGUUCGGAAUAACUCCCCGAAAGGGGUGCUAAUACCGGAUAAUGUCUUCGGACCAAAGAUUUAUCGCCUUUGGAUGGGCCCGCGUUGGAUUAGCUAGUUGGUAGGGUAAAAGCCUACCAAGGCGACGAUCCAUAGCUGGUCUGAGAGGAUGAUCAGCCACACUGGGACUGAGACACGGCCCAGACUCCUACGGGAGGCAGCAGUGGGGAAUAUUGGACAAUGGGCGAAAGCCUGAUCCAGCAAUGCCGCGUGAGUGAUGAAGGCCCUAGGGUUGUAAAGCUCUUUUACCCGGGAUGAUAAUGACAGUACCGGGAGAAUAAGCUCCGGCUAACUCCGUG
Molecule: ribosomal RNA, 432 nt
Filed under: uncultured bacterium
Lineage: Bacteria
Description: partial 16S ribosomal RNA
Rfam family: Bacterial small subunit ribosomal RNA
Source: RNAcentral